Molecule: non-coding RNA, 74 nt
Organism: Cynocephalus volans (Philippine flying lemur)
Lineage: Eukaryota; Metazoa; Chordata; Mammalia; Dermoptera; Cynocephalidae
Source: the annotation of a RefSeq genome assembly
GGUCAGUUAGCUCAGUUGGGAGAGCAUGGUGCUAGUGACACCAAAGUCAUGGGUUCAGAUCCCCGUACUGGCCA